AAGCUACCCUCCCCUUCGCUCCCCGCCUCCUCCCCCACCUCCCCACGGCUACAGUUGGCCACAGUUGAGUCCCUUCUGCCCCUGUUGAGGCCGUGGUGGAUGGAGAUCAUAGUGCUUGGGACAGUGGGCUGUGCCUCAGCUGUUUUCCUCCUUUCAGCCAUGAUCAUCUGCUACAAGGCCAUAAAGAGGAAACCACUACGGAAAGAGGAGAACGGGACAAGUCGUGGGGAGUAUGCCAUGAGUGUACGCAACAAGAAGGCCAUGGGCCCAAACAACACUGUGGUGUAGACUGUCCACUGACAGAAAGAGGAAGUGACAUCACCAUCACCCCCACUAUCCACCCUAUCCUACCUAAAACUCCUAUUACCUAGAACGCAACAGGGGGUUGACCUGUUAAAAAUGCAUUAACACCUUUCCUUCUCUCCUAGCAUGUUGCCUGAAUGAAAGACAACAUCCAGAUAAAGGAGAGUAGCGAGAACCAGAGAGAGAGAAAAACUAAACAUGGAAGUGGAUUCAGAGAAUGAGUAAAAAAGUGAAUUGAGAAGUUCUACACCAGACUGAACAGCAGAUUGUCGACAUGAAGUGUCAUUGACAGGGGAAUGGUUGACUGCUAAUCUGUCAAUCUACACAGCUCCACACUUCUUACAGACAACUUCAAUGUAGGAACAGACACUGAAGCACUGCGAUGGGAUAGGAGGUUGCGGAGGACCAGAUCAAGAACAAAAUGUGCACGCAGUUUUUAUGGAAAAUGCAAAAAAGGAUUCUGCGGUCGGGCUGUCUCAUCUAUUCUCAUCUGACCAUUUUUCUUUUUAAUUUAUUAAAGCAGAAUUUGUGUUAUACUGGCACAGUUGCAGGUUCUUGCUGUGGUUUGAGAUGUAUAGUGCUCAUCUGACUAUGCAAUUAAAACAUACAUUUACAGGUCAUACCAAGUGGGAAGUAAAACAACAAGAUCAAGUCAGUUCCUAUGUUCCAUACCAACAACACAACUGAGAACAGCCUGAGGACAAACUUUAUCUACUUAUCUAAUUUGUUCAUUUAUUUAUUUACUGUAUUUAUUCAUUCAUUUGUCUGCGUAUGUAUGUCAUUAUUGUUUAAUUCAGUCAGUUUAAUGAUUUGAAAUGUUUUCUUUUUAUAUGAAUUAUUUAGUAAUCAUAUCAUUCAUUUUAAUGGUCUGACGCUUCAAGCCCACUUUUAAUUUGCUACAGACACUGAUGCAGAAAACACAUCUGCAAAGAGUUUUGGCUAUCAAUUGUUCAUCUCUUGCUGUUUGAUAUGCCUUUCUGUGUUCCCCUGUGACUUCCGCGAAUAUGAUGGGGAUUUCUGUGAUGCGAGAUUGUGAAUGUGUGUUUUCUGACCAUGCUUUUAGCAGCUUAUUCUACCCCUCAAUUCUUUAUCACAAGACUAACAUGGUAUUACAUUUUGUGUUGUCACAUCUCACUGGUUAGACAGUCAGGGGGAGGUAGUGGGGGACAGUGGGAAGCCCUUUGCCGUGUUCUGAUGUGAUUUUUACAGUCUUAAUUGUUCCACCUCCCAGCAAGGAGAGAACCCAUCACUAUAGAAACAGUGCACAUGAUCCCAGGACUGACAUGCUGAUUGGUGGAGGACGGGAUUCCAAACAUAGGCUAAUCUGGAUAUCAAAUUGCAGAGAGGAUGGCCACAAAAGGAACAUGUGACUCAGUGCACUCACACUCGCAGGCAUCCCCAACAUCCUUCUGCAAUAAACAGUGCACAGUUGAUUUAAAGCAUCACUCAAUUAUUACGCUGCGUGUUGGCAUAGCUGCAGUUAAUUUGUAUAUUAGUGCGUGUUGUGUGCGUGAGAGAGAGCACAAUACAUGUAUGGCUGGCAGUAUCUCUGAAAAUGUUCCAUUACUGUUGAAUUUUGUAAACACAGACCUUGCAUUGUGAAAUGCAUAGGAAUUAGCAUAUCUUACCUAUAAUGUACCCAGAAACUGAAGAUACGUCGCUAAUACUGUACAUUGAGGGAAAUAACCUUGGAUGCAUGAAUGUAAAUAUUGAUAUUUAAAAAUAUCUGCCUUCUGGACUGUUAAUUACAUGUACAGUGUAACAGAAAAUAUGUUUAUACAUAGUAGAAAUUAAACAAUGUGCUACCAAUUAGAAUUAAAUCAAUGUUAUCAUGUUUAUGGAGCAAGCCAUUCAUGUAUAUUUGGCAAUGAAAGUUAUUGCACAAUUGAUGCAUUAUAUACCAAAAGGAUACAUAGAGUCCCAUGUAUACAUCGAUAAUGUUCAUUCAGUUGAUUUAAUUGCUGACUUUUUCAGUUGUAAAUAAAAGUGAACAGAAUGACAGGC
Molecule: non-coding RNA, 2307 nt
Organism: Salvelinus sp. IW2-2015
Lineage: Eukaryota; Metazoa; Chordata; Actinopteri; Salmoniformes; Salmonidae
Source: RefSeq, a predicted model, not a curated record